Molecule: ribosomal RNA, 573 nt
Filed under: uncultured Streptococcus sp.
Lineage: Bacteria; Bacillati; Bacillota; Bacilli; Lactobacillales; Streptococcaceae
Description: bacterial SSU rRNA
Rfam family: Bacterial small subunit ribosomal RNA
Source: RNAcentral
GCAGUAGGACGCACAGUUUAUACCGUAGCUUGCUACACCAUAGACUGUGAGUUGCGAACGGGUGAGUAACGCGUAGGUAACCUGCCUAUUAGAGGGGGAUAACUAUUGGAAACGAUAGCUAAUACCGCAUAACAGUAUGUAACACAUGUUAGAUGCUUGAAAGAUGCAAUUGCAUCGCUAGUAGAUGGACCUGCGUUGUAUUAGCUAGUAGGUAGGGUAAAGGCCUACCUAGGCAACGAUACAUAGCCGACCUGAGAGGGUGAUCGGCCACACUGGGACUGAGACACGGCCCAGACUCCUACGGGAGGCAGCAGUAGGGAAUCUUCGGCAAUGGGGGGAACCCUGACCGAGCAACGCCGCGUGAGUGAAGAAGGUUUUCGGAUCGUAAAGCUCUGUUGUUAAGGAAGAACGAGUGUGAGAAUGGAAAGUUCAUGCUGUGACGGUACUUAACCAGAAAGGGACGGCUAACUACGUGCCAGCAGCCGCGGUAAUACGUAGGUCCCGAGCGUUGUCCGGAUUUAUUGGGCGUAAAGCGAGCGCAGGCGGUUAGAAAAGUCUGAAGUGAAAGGCAGU